ACACCGAUGGUGAAGCGGUUAUCAUGCUUGCCUUCCAUUGGGGAAGAAUACGGCCUGUUGAGCAAGCGGCAGGGGUUCGACUCCCCUUCGGUGUA
Molecule: non-coding RNA, 95 nt
Organism: Mycena maculata
Lineage: Eukaryota; Fungi; Basidiomycota; Agaricomycetes; Agaricales; Mycenaceae
Source: the annotation of a GenBank genome assembly